AUUGAACGCUGGCGGCAUGCCUUACACAUGCAAGUCGAACGGCAACGGGCCUUCGGGUGCCGACGAGUGGCGAACGGGUGAGUAAUACAUCGGAACGUGCCCGAUCGUGGGGGAUAACGAGGCGAAAGCUUUGCUAAUACCGCAUACGAUCUACGGAUGAAAGCAGGGGACCGCAAGGCCUUGCGCGGACGGAGCGGCCGAUGGCAGAUUAGGUAGUUGGUGGGAUAAAAGCUUACCAAGCCGACGAUCUGUAGCUGGUCUGAGAGGAUGAUCAGCCACACUGGGACUGAGACACGGCCCAGACUCCUACGGGAGGCAGCAGUGGGGAAUUUUGGACAAUGGGCGCAAGCCUGAUCCAGCCAUGCCGCGUGCAGGAUGAAGGCCUUCGGGUUGUAAACUGCUUUUGUACGGAACGAAAAGCCUUCUUUUAAUACAGGAGGGUCAUGACGGUACCGUAAGAAUAAGCACCGGCUAACUACGUG
This 482-nucleotide ribosomal RNA is filed under the name uncultured bacterium. RNAcentral describes it as "partial 16S ribosomal RNA". It matches the Rfam family "Bacterial small subunit ribosomal RNA", at positions 30 to 507 of the family's 1533-position model. The record is from RNAcentral.